GCCUGAGGAAAUUCAAGUGUGAGCACACA
RNAcentral lists this non-coding RNA (29 nucleotides) under Rattus norvegicus (Norway rat). Lineage: Eukaryota; Metazoa; Chordata; Mammalia; Rodentia; Muridae. The record is from RNAcentral.